UGCAAGUCGAGCGGACAGAAGGGAGCUUGCUCCCGGAUGUUAGCGGCGGACGGGUGAGUAACACGUGGGUAACCUGCCUGUAAGACUGGGAUAACUCCGGGAAACCGGAGCUAAUACCGGAUAGUUCCUUGAACCGCAUGGUUCAAGGAUGAAAGACGGUUUCGGCUGUCACUUACAGAUGGACCCGCGGCGCAUUAGCUAGUUGGUGGGGUAAUGGCUCACCAAGGCGACGAUGCGUAGCCGACCUGAGAGGGUGAUCGGCCACACUGGGACUGAGACACGGCCCAGACUCCUACGGGAGGCAGCAGUAGGGAAUCUUCCGCAAUGGACGAAAGUCUGACGGAGCAACGCCGCGUGAGUGAUGAAGGUUUUCGGAUCGUAAAGCUCUGUUGUUAGGGAAGAACAAGUGCGAGAGUAACUGCUCGCACCUUGACGGUACCUAACCAGAAAGCCACGGCUAACUACGUGCCAGCAGCCGCGGUAAUACGUAGGUGGCAAGCGUUGUCCGGAAUUAUUGGGCGUAAAGGGCUCGCAGGCGGUUUCUUAAGUCUGAUGUGAAAGCCCCCGGCUCAACCGGGGAGGGUCAUUGGAAACUGGGAAACUUGAGUGCAGAAGAGGAGAGUGGAAUUCCACGUGUAGCGGUGAAAUGCGUAGAGAUGUGGAGGAACACCAGUGGCGAAGGCGACUCUCUGGUCUGUAACUGACGCUGAGGAGCGAAAGCGUGGGGAGCGAACAGGAUUAGAUACCCUGGUAGUCCACGCCGUAAACGAUGAGUGCUAAGUGUUAGGGGGUUUCCGCCCCUUAGUGCUGCAGCUAACGCAUUAAGCACUCCGCCUGGGGGAGUACGGUCGCAAGACUGAAACUCAAAGGAAUUGACGGG
Molecule: ribosomal RNA, 880 nt
Filed under: Bacillus safensis
Lineage: Bacteria; Bacillati; Bacillota; Bacilli; Caryophanales; Bacillaceae
Description: bacterial SSU rRNA
Rfam family: Bacterial small subunit ribosomal RNA
Source: RNAcentral